CCGCCUCUUGGGUUCAAGCAAUUCUCCUGCCUCAGCCUCCCGAGUAGCUGGGGUUACAGGCGCCCACCACCAUCCCCGGCUAAUUAUUAUAUUAUUAGUAGAGACGGAGUUUCACCAUGUUGGCCAGGCUGGUCUGGAACUCCUGACCUCAGGUGAUCCACCUGCUUUGGCCUCCCAAAGUGCUGGGAUUACAGGCGUGAGCUACCACCACCAGCCUGACAUUCCAUUUUAAAACCAGGACAGUCAUGGGCAAACUGGGACAAGUCAGUCACCCACCGCCUAAACCCCCACCCGGUUUAGCCACCAACUUUCUCCAAUUUUAUUCCUCAGACUGCGCUGCAAAAGAGAGGUGGGGGACGGGGUGAGGGCCCGUGAUGGCCUAGAGGAGGGCUCCCCAGGAGAUGGUGGAAGAACUUUAGUGAAGGCGAGAAUUGGAGAGCACCCCUUUUGCAGCAGCAUUCUCUCAGCCCC
This 471-nucleotide long non-coding RNA is filed under the name Pan troglodytes (chimpanzee). RNAcentral's name for it is "long non-coding RNA NONPTRT010383". The record is from RNAcentral. Lineage: Eukaryota; Metazoa; Chordata; Mammalia; Primates; Hominidae.